GCUCCGAUGUCUAUUUUCAUCUCACUCGGCGGCGUCGCGGCCACCCCUUGUCGCACCGCGUUCUCAGUAUCAUCGUCCGCCUAAAAAGGUAGAUUGACCGUGGAAGUAACGCGAUCCGCGAUUGGUCGGCCAGGUCGACGAAUCGGUCGUCGCGUUACACCCCAGGAUCACGUUGCACGCGCUUAUAUUGGGAGCCCCCGCGCGUUUCCCCGACAGAACGGCUCUCUAACGGCCGCCCGAAACGUGCCGCCAGAAGUAGUCCGUCCGCCGCCGAACCAACAACAAGCCCCAAAGGCAAACGACAGGAAGAAGAGGAACAGUCCUCCCCUCCUACCGAAAAA
Long non-coding RNA from Formica exsecta, 341 nucleotides. RefSeq lists it as uncharacterized. NCBI's taxonomy places the organism in Eukaryota, Metazoa, Arthropoda, Insecta, Hymenoptera, Formicidae. The transcript has 2 exons. The record is from RefSeq and is a predicted model, not a curated record.